RNAcentral lists this ribosomal RNA (301 nucleotides) under uncultured bacterium. Its description in RNAcentral is "partial 16S ribosomal RNA". It matches the Rfam family "Bacterial small subunit ribosomal RNA", at positions 509 to 809 of the family's 1533-position model. The record is from RNAcentral.
CAGUAGCCACGGUAAUACAGAGGGUGCGAGCGUUAAUCGGAUUUACUGGGCGUAAAGCGUGCGUAGGCGGCUUCUUAAGUCGGAUGUGAAAUCCCUGAGCUUAACUUAGGAAUUGCAUUCGAUACUGGGAAGCUAGAGUAUGGGAGAGGAUGGUAGAAUUCCAGGUGUAGCGGUGAAAUGCGUAGAGAUAUGGAGGAAUACCGAUGGCGAAGGCAGCCAUCUGGCCUAAUACUGACGCUGAGGUACGAAAGCAUGGGGAGCAAACAGGAUUAGAUACCCGCGUAGUCCCUGUCUCUUAUAU